This 253-nucleotide ribosomal RNA is filed under the name uncultured bacterium. RNAcentral's name for it is "partial 16S ribosomal RNA". It matches the Rfam family "Bacterial small subunit ribosomal RNA", at positions 524 to 776 of the family's 1533-position model. The record is from RNAcentral.
GACGGGGGGUGCAAGCGUUAUCCGGAAUCACUGGGUUUAAAGGGUGCGUAGGCGGCGUUGUAAGUCACGGGUGAAAGCCCGCAGCUUAACGGCGGGACUGCCAGUGAUACUGCAGGGCUUGAAAGAGGUUGAGGUAGGCGGAACGUCACGUGUAGCGGUGAAAUGCGUAGAUACAUCGCAGAACACCGGUGGCGAAGGCAGCCGGCUGGGCCUACAUUGACGCUGAGGGACGAAAGCGUGGGGAGCGAACGGG